UACAUAGGGUGCAAGCGUUGUCCGGAUUUAUUGGGCGUAAAGAGCGCGUAGGCGGUAAAUUAAGUUGGAUUUGAAAGGCUGUGGCUCAACCAUGGUUUGGGUCCAAAACUGAUUUACUAGAGAGUAGAAGAGGGAAGUAGAAUUUACGGUGUAGCGGUGAAAUGCGUAGAUAUCGUAAGGAAUACCAGUGGCGAAGGCGGCUUCCUGGACUACUUCUGACGCUGAGGCGCGAAAGCGUGGGUAGCAAACAGG
Molecule: ribosomal RNA, 252 nt
Filed under: uncultured bacterium
Lineage: Bacteria
Description: partial 16S ribosomal RNA
Rfam family: Bacterial small subunit ribosomal RNA
Source: RNAcentral